This 1142-nucleotide ribosomal RNA is filed under the name Citricoccus sp. 1001B12_12ECASO. Its description in RNAcentral is "bacterial SSU rRNA". It matches the Rfam family "Bacterial small subunit ribosomal RNA", at positions 56 to 1204 of the family's 1533-position model. Lineage: Bacteria; Bacillati; Actinomycetota; Actinomycetes; Micrococcales; Micrococcaceae. The record is from RNAcentral.
UGCAAGUCGAACGCUGAAGCCCCAGCUUGCUGGGGUGGAUGAGUGGCGAACGGGUGAGUAACACGUGAGUAACCUUCCCUUGACUCUGGGAUAAGCCCGGGAAACUGGGUCUAAUACCGGAUACGACCUCCUGCCGCAUGGUAUGGGGGUGGAAAGAUUUAUCGGUCUUGGAUGGACUCGCGGCCUAUCAGCUUGUUGGUGAGGUAAUGGCUCACCAAGGCGACGACGGGUAGCCGGCCUGAGAGGGUGACCGGCCACACUGGGACUGAGACACGGCCCAGACUCCUACGGGAGGCAGCAGUGGGGAAUAUUGCACAAUGGGCGCAAGCCUGAUGCAGCGACGCCGCGUGAGGGAUGACGGCCUUCGGGUUGUAAACCUCUUUCAGUAGGGAAGAAGCGAAAGUGACGGUACCUGCAGAAGAAGCGCCGGCUAACUACGUGCCAGCAGCCGCGGUAAUACGUAGGGCGCGAGCGUUAUCCGGAAUUAUUGGGCGUAAAGAGCUCGUAGGCGGUUUGUCGCGUCUGCCGUGAAAGUCCGGGGCUUAACCCCGGAUCUGCGGUGGGUACGGGCAGACUAGAGUGCAGUAGGGGAGACUGGAAUUCCUGGUGUAGCGGUGAAAUGCGCAGAUAUCAGGAGGAACACCGAUGGCGAAGGCAGGUCUCUGGGCUGUUACUGACGCUGAGGAGCGAAAGCAUGGGGAGCGAACAGGAUUAGAUACCCUGGUAGUCCAUGCCGUAAACGUUGGGCACUAGGUGUGGGGGACAUUCCACGUUUUCCGCGCCGCAGCUAACGCAUUAAGUGCCCCGCCUGGGGAGUACGGCCGCAAGGCUAAAACUCAAAGGAAUUGACGGGGGCCCGCACAAGCGGCGGAGCAUGCGGAUUAAUUCGAUGCAACGCGAAGAACCUUACCAAGGCUUGACAUGUUCUCGACCGCCACAGAAGAUGUGGUUUCCCCUUUGGGGCGGGUUCACAGGUGGUGCAUGGUUGUCGUCAGCUCGUGUCGUGAGAUGUUGGGUUAAGUCCCGCAACGAGCGCAACCCUCGUUCCAUGUUGCCAGCGGGUUAUGCCGGGGACUCAUGGGAGACUGCCGGGGUCAACUCGGAAGGAAGGUGGGGACGACGUCAAAUCAUCAUGCCCCUUA